Molecule: ribosomal RNA, 301 nt
Filed under: uncultured bacterium
Lineage: Bacteria
Description: partial 16S ribosomal RNA
Rfam family: Bacterial small subunit ribosomal RNA
Source: RNAcentral
CAGCAGCCGCGGUAAUACGUAGGUGGCAAGCGUUGUCCGGAAUUAUUGGGCGUAAAGGGCUCGCAGGCGGUUUCUUAAGUCUGAUGUGAAAGCCCCCGGCUCAACCGGGGAGGGUCAUUGGAAACUGGGAAACUUGAGUGCAGAAGAGGAGAGUGGAAUUCCACGUGUAGCGGUGAAAUGCGUAGAGAUGUGGAGGAACACCAGUGGCGAAGGCGAUUCUCUGGUCUGUAACUGACGCUGAGGAGCGAAAGCGUGGGGAGCGAACAGGAUUAGAUACCCGUGUAGUCCCUGUCUCUUAUAC